UAGGGAAUCUUCCACAAUGGGCGAAAGCCUGAUGGAGCAACGCCGCGUGUGUGAUGAAGGGUUUCGGCUCGUACAACACUGUUGUAAGAGAAGAAUGACAUUGAGAGUAACUGUUCAAUGUGUGACGGUAUCUUACCAGAAAGGAACGGCUAAAUACGUGUCAG
RNAcentral lists this ribosomal RNA (164 nucleotides) under uncultured bacterium. Its description in RNAcentral is "partial 16S rRNA". It matches the Rfam family "Bacterial small subunit ribosomal RNA", at positions 355 to 511 of the family's 1533-position model. The record is from RNAcentral.